CUGUGUUGGUUGCUAUAUUGUUUCAAAGUGGUUGCUAGGUGGUUUCUAAGGUGUUGCUAUGGUAUCUGUGUUGGUUGCUAUAUUGUUUCAAAGUCAUUGCUAGGUGGUUUCUAAGGUGUUGCUAUGGUAUCUGUGUUGGUUGCUAUAUUGUUUCAAAGUCAUUGCUAGGUGGUUUCUAAGGUGUUGCUAUGGUAUCUGUGUUGGUUGCUAUAUUGUUUCAAAGUGGUUGCUAGGUGGUUUCUAAGGUGUUGCUAUGGUAUCUGUGUUAGUUGCUAUAUUGUUUCAAAGUGGUUGCUAGCUGGUUUCUAAGGUGUUGCUAUGGUAUCUGUGUUGGUUGCUAUAUUGUUUCAAAGUCAUUGCUAGGUGGUUUCUAAGGUGUUGCUAUGGUAUCUGUGUUGGUUGCUAUAUUGUUUCAAAGUGGUUGCUAGGUGGUUUCUAAGGUGUUGCUGUGGUAUCUGUGUUAGUUGCUAUAUUGUUUCACAGUGGUUGCUAGGGGGUUUCUAAGGUGUUGCUAUGGUAUCUGUGUUGGUUUCUACAUUGUUUCAAAGUGGUUGCUAGGUGGUUUCUAAGGUGUUGCUAUGGUAUCUGUGUUGGUUUCUAUAUUGUUUCAAAGUGGUUGCUAGGUGGUUUCUAAGGUGUUGCUAUGGUAUCUGUGUUGGUUGCUAUAUUGUUUUAAAGUGGUUGCUAGGUGGUUUCUAAGGUGUUGCUAUGGUAUCUGUGUUGGUUGCUAUAUUGUUUUAAAGUCGUUGCUAGGUGGUUUUAGAUUAUAAUGUGUUGCUGCACGUUGCUGCGAUGGAAUGUUGGACCCCCAUUCAUUCCUAUGGGGCAAAUUUAUAUGACAAUUGCACUGAAACCGCACAUCGUAUUAAUUCGUAUUAAUCAGAUUAUUGUUAUGUGUUUGGGCAGAA
Astyanax mexicanus (Mexican tetra) is the source of this 908-nucleotide long non-coding RNA. RefSeq lists it as uncharacterized. The transcript is spliced from 7 exons. The record is from RefSeq and is a predicted model, not a curated record. NCBI's taxonomy places the organism in Eukaryota, Metazoa, Chordata, Actinopteri, Characiformes, Acestrorhamphidae.